This 416-nucleotide ribosomal RNA is filed under the name uncultured bacterium. Its description in RNAcentral is "bacterial SSU rRNA". It matches the Rfam family "Bacterial small subunit ribosomal RNA", at positions 355 to 787 of the family's 1533-position model. The record is from RNAcentral.
UCGGGAAUAUUGCGCAAUGGAGGAAACUCUGACGCAGUGACGCCGCGUAUAGGAAGAAGGUUUUCGGACUGUAAACUAUUGUCGUUAGGGAAGAAAAAAUGACAGUACCUAAGGAGGAAGCUCCGGCUAACUACGUGCCAGCAGCCGCGGUAAUACGUAGGGAGCAAGCGUUAUCCGGAUUUAUUGGGUGUAAAGGGUGCGUAGACGGGCGAUCAAGUUAGUUGUGAAAUCCCUCGGCUCAACUGAGGAACUGCAACUAAACUGGUUGUCUUGAGUGCAGGAGAGGUAAGUGGAAUUCCUAGUGUAGCGGUGAAAUGCGUAGAUAUUAGGAGGAACACCAGUGGCGAAGGCGACUUACUGGACUGUAACUGACGUUGAGGCACGAAAGUGUGGGGAGCAAACAGGAUUAGAUACCC